RNAcentral lists this long non-coding RNA (2490 nucleotides) under Haliotis rubra (blacklip abalone). Its description in RNAcentral is "uncharacterized LOC124262515". The record is from RNAcentral. Lineage: Eukaryota; Metazoa; Mollusca; Gastropoda; Lepetellida; Haliotidae.
AGAAGCGCUGUAUUCCUUACUUUUCCGGGUACUCGAUUCCGAUUGGGGUAAGUACAUGCGGGUACUCGAUUCCAUUUUUCCUACCCGUCCCAGCCCUAAUUGUGAGAGAGUCCACGUGACAAGAACACGAGCUGUACCGACACUGAGCAAUGGGAGGGAAAUCCAUCAUGAAGUGAAGUACUCCUGGGGUGACGAAAAACACAGAACAAGGGAUGCCCAGGCACCUCAUGGAGAUCCCAGUUGCCGUGAUGAGCAAUCCACAUGUGGAAGGACUUGUUUCAUUACAUUCACUUUCUUCUUAUUUGUUACCAUUGUUUCCACAAAUUGAUGAUGUGACAGGGAGAUGUUCACACAUUGUGUAGCGCAACCAUAAUAUGUUCACUUUGUCAGCCAAAUAUUGAAUUACCCCCUUGUGUGGGUAGUGCAUCAUGUCCAGCCUCAUUGUUGACUUGUUCCACGGUGUACAUAGCUUACAACAUAGGGAUAUAGCAGUCUCAUUCACACUUGGAUUAGGACAAUCGUGAAAGUAGAUAGUAUUGAGUAGAUUUUGAACGACAUACAAAUAGUACAAUAUAGUUUAGUAUUUUACUCUUGUAUGAAAGAAAUUAGUCACAUAUUCACAAACCUGUGUACUUAAACUUGUAUGUGUCGUUGGGACAGUGAUAUUAUUAUUGAAGUAUGUUUAGGCUAGAGUUUAGGCAUCAGAUUCAUUGUGAUAUCAGUGAUCAUGAGUAUCCUGUGCUCUUUGAAAUGGAAGUACUUUCUGAAUGUCUUCUCCACUAUAGCCCUGAUAAGACCUUGACAAUUACUUGUGUACUGUGGCUUGUUGAUCACAGAUUGCAGUAAAAUUAAUUGGCCUACGCGAAGGUAGGGUGCCUCUAUGCUGAGCUGUGUGUACAAAAUCUGAACUAUUCUGAAGUGAGGAGACAAACAGGGCGUUAUGGAGACAGCUUCCUUCAUCAUCUUGAACUUCACAUAGUUAAUCUCUUUGAGUAGUCUCCCUUUGGCUUGAUGUCGAUAUUUGUAACCACGUCAGACGUCCAGGCUCCAAAAUGACUUUUCUCAGAAACAACUUUCCCUUUUUGUCAUAAAGACUGUUUGUCAGUUAACCUUUAAUACCAAUCAUGGAGCAUAUGUAUAUUAAGUUGAUGAUUGUUUGUGCGUUAGUUUUUCCAGCAGUUUAGAACAUGGUAGUUUGUCUGUGUUGUACACACAGUGGUGCUGGACCUAGAUCAGCAUCAGCCAGGUGGCAGGCUUGCAUAGGUGGCUUGUAAAUUGAGAGUUCCGCUUGCAUAGUGACAAACUGCCAUUUUUAACUUAAAAAGAGUUGUUAAUGUGACAUUGUACAGAGCAUGUACAAAUAAUGUUCUUAGAACUAAUACUUUGAUGUGAGCAUAUAUAUAUAUAUAUAGACACUACUAGACCGAUACUGUGAUUUGAGCACAUAUAGAAACUACUAGAACUAAUACUGUGAUUUGAGCAUAUAUAGACAUUACUAGACAGACACUGUGAUUUGAGCAUAUAUAGACAUUACUAGACAGAUACUGUGAUUUGAGCAUAUAUAGACAUUUCAUGUACCUAGACCACAUUAGAGCUAUAGAAUUAACACAGUGCCACAAAUCAGGAUUCUUCGUCUUAUCAAAGUAAUGGGUUGAAUGUUUAAUGUUGACUUGGACUUCUCAAUACCAAAGUUAAAACCCUACUUGGGUUGUCAAAAUGCGACCUCCAAAUGUCUUCUUGUUGGGUUUUUACUGUGAACAAUUAAUGUUAUCAACUGGAGAGCACACCUCAAAAUGUUCUAGCAUUUACCACUAGCUGGCAUUCCCUGUGCAGGGCCGGUUUGUCUAUCUGAUAUCAGCUGCAAGACACAGAUUUGUCCAUCUGGUAUUAACCGUCAGAUACAGGUCUGUCCAUCUGGUAUUACCCGCCAGACACAGGUCUGUCCAUCUGGUAGAUACAGGUCUGUAUUAACCACCAGAUACAGGUCUGUCCAUCUGGUAGAUACAGGUCUGUCCAUCUGGUAUUACCCGCCAGACACAGGUCUGUCCAUCUGGUAGAUACAGGUCUGUAUUAACCACCAGAUACAGGUCUGUCCAUCUGGUAUUACCCGCCAGACACAGGUCUGUCCAUCUAGGAGUAAUUGCCAGACAAAGGUUUGGCAUGCCCUGUUAACUCUGUAGCUCUGAUGAUCUUUACAGAUUAUGCAAUUGAUGUGCUAGAAAUUAAACACUGUCUGCCUGACAGCAGUUGACAUAUUGUUGAUUCCAGUUGACAUGCUGUUGGUUGAAUUUGACAUGCAACAGAUAUGGAUUGGACGUACUCAUGGCUGCAUUUGAAGUGCUGUUCGUUGUUAUGGUAUCUUUCUGACAUGGUGUUGUGUCAGUUAACAUGCUGUUGGUUUCAGUUAACAUGCUGUUAUGUAAAUUAACAUGCUGUUGUGUCAGUUGACUUGCAGUUGUGUCAGUUGACAAGCAGUUGGUGUCAGUUGAC